GCCGGAGUAGCUUAACGGUAAAGCAGGCGCCUGAAGAGCGUCUGAACGCAGUUCGAUUCUGCGCUCCGGCA
This 71-nucleotide transfer RNA is filed under the name Candidatus Yanofskyibacteriota bacterium. Its description in RNAcentral is "Candidatus Yanofskybacteria bacterium tRNA-Phe". It matches the Rfam family "tRNA". Rfam says of the family: Transfer RNA (tRNA) molecules are approximately 80 nucleotides in length. Their secondary structure includes four short double-helical elements and three loops (D, anti-codon, and T loops). Further hydrogen bonds mediate the characteristic L-shaped molecular structure. tRNAs have two regions of fundamental functional importance: the anti-codon, which is responsible for specific mRNA codon recognition, and the 3' end, to which the tRNAs corresponding amino acid is attached (by aminoacyl-tRNA synthetases). tRNAs cope with the degeneracy of the genetic code in two manners: having more than one tRNA (with a specific anti-codon) for a particular amino acid; and 'wobble' base-pairing, i.e. permitting non-standard base-pairing at the 3rd anti-codon position. The record is from RNAcentral. Lineage: Bacteria; Candidatus Yanofskyibacteriota.